GAUGAACGCUGGCGGCGUGCCUAAUACAUGCAAGUCGAGCGAACAGACGAGGCGCUUGCUCCUCUGACGUUAGCGGCGGACGGGUGAGUAACACGUGGAUAACCUACCUAUAAGACUGGGAUAACUUCGAGAAACCGGAGCUUAUACCGGAUAAUAUAUUGAACCGCAUGGUUCAAUAGUGAACGACGGUUUUGCUGUAUCUUCUAGAUGGAUCCGCGCCGCAUUAGCUAGUUGGGAAGGUAACGGCUUACCAAGGCGACGAUGCGUAGCCGACCUGAAAGGGGGGUCGGCCACACUGGAACUUAGACACGGUCCAGACUCCUACGGGAGGCAGCAGUAGGGAAUCUGCCGCAAUGGGCGAAAGCCUGACGGAGCAACGCCGCGUGAGUGAUGAAGGUCUUCGGAUCGUAAAACUCUGUUAUUAGGGAAGAACAAAUGUGUAAGUAACUAUGCACGUCUUGACGGUACCUAAUCAGAAAGCCACGGCUAACUACGUG
This 497-nucleotide ribosomal RNA is filed under the name uncultured bacterium. RNAcentral's name for it is "partial 16S ribosomal RNA". It matches the Rfam family "Bacterial small subunit ribosomal RNA", at positions 28 to 507 of the family's 1533-position model. The record is from RNAcentral.